This 150-nucleotide small RNA is filed under the name Callithrix jacchus (white-tufted-ear marmoset). RNAcentral describes it as "Metazoan signal recognition particle RNA (ENSCJAG00000075870.1)". The record is from Rfam by way of RNAcentral. Lineage: Eukaryota; Metazoa; Chordata; Mammalia; Primates; Cebidae.
GCUGGGCAUGGUGAUGCAUGCCUGUAAUCCCAGCUACUCGGGAAGCUGAGGCAGAAGACUCACUUAAACCCAGGAGACUGAGGUUGCAGUGAGCCAAGAGAUCACGUCACUGCACUCCAGCCUGGGUGACAGAGUGAGACUCCAUCUCAG